RNAcentral lists this ribosomal RNA (468 nucleotides) under uncultured bacterium. RNAcentral describes it as "partial 16S ribosomal RNA". It matches the Rfam family "Bacterial small subunit ribosomal RNA", at positions 28 to 507 of the family's 1533-position model. The record is from RNAcentral.
GACGAACGCUGGCGGCGUGCUUAACACAUGCAAGUCGAACGGAAAGGCCCUGCUUUUGUGGGGCGCUCGAGUGGCGAACGGGUGAGUAACACGUGAGUAACCUGCCCUUGACUUUGGGAUAACUUCAGGAAACUGGGGCUAAUACCGGAUAGGAGCUCCUGCUGCAUGGUGGGGGUUGGAAAGUUUCGGCGGUAGGGGAUGGACUCGCGGCUUAUCAGCUUGUUGGUGGGGUAGUGGCUUACCAAGGCUUUGAAGGGUAGCCGGCCUGAGAGGGUGACCGGCCACAGUGGGACUGAGAUACGGCCCAGACUCCUACGGGAGGCAGCAGUGGGGAAUAUUGCACAAUGGGCGGAAGCCUGAUGCAGCAACGCCGCGUGCGGGAUGACGGCCUUCGGGUUGUAAACCGCUUUCGCCUGUGACGAAGCGUGAGUGACGGUAAUGGGUAAAGAAGCACCGGCUAACUACGUG